GUAGGUGAACCUGCGGAAGGAUCAUUAAAAAUGAAGCCGGGAAACCGGUCCUUCUAACCCUUGAUUAUCUCAAUUUGUUGCUUUGGUGGGACGCGCAAGCACCGGCUUUGGCUGGAUCGUGCCCGCCAGAGGACCCCAAACUCUUUUGUUGAUGUCGUCUGAGUACUAUAUAAUAGUUAAAACUUUCAACAACGGAUCUCUUGGUUCUG
This 209-nucleotide unclassified non-coding RNA is filed under the name rhizosphere metagenome. RNAcentral describes it as "partial ribosomal RNA internal transcribed spacer region". The record is from RNAcentral.